RNAcentral lists this unclassified non-coding RNA (542 nucleotides) under Hevea brasiliensis (rubber tree). The record is from RNAcentral. Lineage: Eukaryota; Viridiplantae; Streptophyta; Magnoliopsida; Malpighiales; Euphorbiaceae.
CCUUGUUCAAGUUGUAAGGUAGGAUCAUUUUUGUGUUGUGCAUUUGAGUGAUCUUUUUGGCCACAACUUGCACUGGUUAAGGGUGGCUGCACAACUAACUUAAGAGCGAUGGGUGUUUGCAAAUUUGGGAACUGAGCAUCAUGUUGGAAGUCGGAGACCAACAUGCAAAGAAAACUUUUUAAUCUUGUCACUGGAUUUAUGAGAGCAGCGCAUAGCCUGCAUUCUGAAGGGCAAAUGAAAUCCAAAAUUGUGCUACUUGGUAACACAAGGAAACUUUUUGUAAUUUUUCUGUGGUGAUUUCCUUCUUGUUAUUCUUUAUCACCAUCACAGGUUAUUCCUUUUUUCGAAUGAGUAGAUUACUUUUUCCAAAAUUUCAAACUGUCUUAUUUGUUGGGAUUGCUCCAUUCAACUCCAAUCCUGUGAGAACUACGUUUAGUUUCAAUUUGAAAUGAAUAUUUUGGUCCCCAUAUUUUAAACACUUUUUGUUGAAAAAUCAUCUUUAAAUCAGGACUCUUAGCUCAACCUUUUAAAGCAGAUGCUUG